Long non-coding RNA from Felis catus (domestic cat), 170 nucleotides. RefSeq lists it as uncharacterized. Lineage: Eukaryota; Metazoa; Chordata; Mammalia; Carnivora; Felidae. The record is from RefSeq and is a predicted model, not a curated record. The transcript is spliced from 2 exons.
GUUGAACUGGAAUGGUGUUUGAUUUACUCUGCCAGAUCGCUCCUUCUGUGAAGACAGCCCUCUGCAAACCCAGAAGACUGUUCUCAGCAGAACCCAGCCAUGCUGGCGCCCUGAUGUGGGACUUCCCAGCCUCCUGAACUGUGACAAAUAAAUCUCUGCUGCGUAAGCCA